AUACGGAGGAUGCAAGCGUUAUCCGGAUUUAUUGGGUUUAAAGGGUGCGUAGGCGGGACUGUAAGUCAGGGGUGAAAUACUGCAGCUUAACUGUAGCAUUGCCUUUGAAACUGCCGGUCUUGAGUACAGUUGAGGUAGGCGGAAUGUGGGGUGUCGCGGGGAAAUGCAUAGAUAUACCACAGAACGCCGAUUGCGAAGGCAGCUUACUAAGCUGUUACUGACGCUGAGGCACGAAAGCGUGGGGAUCAAACAGGAUUAGAUACCCUGGUAGUCCACGCUGUAAACGAUGAUUACCGGUUGUUAGCGAUAUAUAGCUAGUGACUGAGCGAAAGCAUUAAGUAAUCCACCUGGGGAGUACGUCGGCAACGAUGAAACUCAAAGGAAUUGGCGGGGG
RNAcentral lists this ribosomal RNA (394 nucleotides) under uncultured bacterium. Its description in RNAcentral is "partial 16S ribosomal RNA". It matches the Rfam family "Bacterial small subunit ribosomal RNA", at positions 523 to 919 of the family's 1533-position model. The record is from RNAcentral.